UCGCCCUCCCUGGUUCCGGGCCGCCCGAACCGUGUCCGUCCACUGUCCCGCAACCGGAGCCCCGCUGUCCGG
This 72-nucleotide transfer RNA is filed under the name Streptomyces mutabilis. Lineage: Bacteria; Bacillati; Actinomycetota; Actinomycetes; Kitasatosporales; Streptomycetaceae. The record is from RNAcentral.